AGACAUGAAAAAAAAAAGGCAAGAUCACAUCAAAGAAAGCCUAUGGACCCAAGAUUAUAUUCAGCACCAAGAUAAUCUGAACAAAGAAAAUCAGCCCAAUCCAUCUCAACCUAGGAACCCUAGGCAUACUGGGAAGACAAAAUCAUCCAGCAAUGCCAACGCCGUCAUCCACACCGGCACUAAGCAAGAUUACCGGCGGAUAGACGUGUGUAAAGAAAUCGCAAACCGAUCAUUAAAGCAAAUAGCACAUUUGCAUCAGCUAUUCAGAUUGGUGAUCCUGUUUCAAUUGACAGAGCUGUUUAUGCGUUACAAAAUUCAAAUGGGAUUGUUGAGGAGGCUACCGAGGAGGAGCUAAUGGAUGCAAUGGCUCAAGCAGAUUCUACCGGGAUGUUUAUAUGUCCACAUACAGGGGUGGCAUUGACAGCAUUGACGAAGCUCAGGAAUAGUGGGGUUAUAACGUCUAAUGAUCGGACAGUGGUCGUGAGUACAGCUCAUGGGUUAAAAUUUACUCAGAGUAAGAUUGAUUAUCACUCUAGUGAUAUUAAAGACAUGGCUUGUAGGUUUGCUAAUCCACCUGUGAGUGUUAAGGCGGAUUUUGGGUCAGUUAUGGAUGUUCUGAAGAAGUAUUUGUUGAGUAAAGAAUCUUAAUAUUAGAUUGAUCAUUGUAAGUUUUGCUUAUGUAGCUCUAGAUCAUUGUUAUUUCAUGCCCACUGGUGUUGUCAUUUAAGGAUUUUUGGUACUGGAUGGUUCUAGAUAAGAUUUCAAAUUCUCUUUUGUUAUUGUUUUUAGAGGAGAAACCAUAUGGUCAACUAGUCAUUUUGGGAUGGAGUCCUCAUCAUUUGGAUUUAAUGAAAUUUUUGUUGAGCUUUCUUCCUGAAGCAUUUAUUACUGUAUCUCACGUUUAUCUUUUGUUGUAUGCAUGAUUUCAUUAUUGAAAAUGUAUUCAUUACGAGGAAAAUGAGUUUUUCGGUUUAGAAAAGGGCAUGCAUCAGGGAAUCGAUGAGCAUAUUUAUUAGAAGCUGAAUGUUGAAAUGAUAAUUAGAAGUUGUUCACCUAUGAAACUUGAUUAUAAAAUGACUAUUUCUAGAUCUCAUGCUUUUUCCCAAUUUCUCCAGCUUGGGCUGGAUUGUAUAAAGGUGCUUACUUGCAGGCUUGUAAAGGUUGCAUUUUGCAUCGAUGCUGUUGAUUGAGGAACAUUGGUUGAGGCGGGUUGGACAGCGGAGUCGGUGAAGUCUCGUAAUGCUCUGCAUGGACAGAACAGAGUAUUCUUGAGUAUCAUUCCAUGGUUUGAAGGUUAUCUGUCAGCGUGUGUUAAGGCAUAUUUUGAAUUGAUUUAUGCAGACUAAUAUUGGAGUUUAUGUUACAGCGAGUAUCUAAUGCAAUCUGGGGAUUUUCCAGUCCCCUCAAUUAUUGGCUUCUCAUCGCAAUUGGCUUCAUCAUAAAAUACCGUCUCUGAAUGAGAAGCCAUUAGCUCUUCUCACAAUUGCUCAUAUCUGUGGCAAGCCUUUCACGUCUUUCAACUGUUAUUGAUGUUUCUCCACUUUCUCUGUCAUUGAUUAGCAUUGGCAAAACCUAUAAAUCCAUCAAAUCAUUCCUGGUUGGAUCCAAGCCACAAUUCCCCUGCCAAAGUUGGUGGCAAACAGGUUUCUCUCUACCUUGGAAUUCAAAUAAUUUUGAUUAAUAUUAUUUCCUACCUGCUUGAUCAAAGUUUCAGAAGGAAGACCAAAUCAAGAGAACAAAAACAACCAAAAUCUUAAAUUAAAAUUUUUGUUUCAAGAUUAAGAAAACUAUCAUCCCUAACAAAAAAAAAAAAAGGCUUUUUCUCCUCUUGCUACACCCCCCAACCCCCUUCUCCCUCUCUCUCUUUUACACAACCACAGCCCGUUGAUCUCUAACACAGCCAGCCCUCCGCCUUCCCAAAGGGAGAAUCUCUAUUCGGGUGCACUUGGUAAGCUAAAGAACCGCCAAGAGAAUGAGAGAGAUGGGCCUCUCAAAGCCAUUGUUCUACCUUUUCUGUCCUGCUUAACGCGCCUCUCAAAGCCAUUGUUCUACCUUUUCUGUCCUGCUUAACGCCACUGGAGGUGGUUGGAAAUGGUAUGUGGGUGUCCAUCAUCGACGUGAAAAUGGGUGCCUCGUGAGAACAGAAUUUUCAUGGGCAUCUGUCUCUACAUAUUUGUGACGAAGAAAUGCAAAAAGCAAUAGUCAAUCCAUCUCUACGCUCUACUUCAAUUUUCUUUUUGAAGAUAAGAAUUAAGAAAUCAACAAGUGUUUGUCAACAAUCGUUUAAGCAAAGCAGAAAAUCUUGAAAGCAACCUUCCAAACCAUUCUUAAGGUUCUCAAGGCCAACUGCUUCAACGAGACAGAAAAUGAUUGUCUUGAUAGUGAAAAAAGAGGGGAUAAGUAUUGAGGGGCAAAAAUGUAGAAACAAAUCAUUUGUCCAACUGGGCACAUUUUUUCCACUUAAACCAUUAUAGGAAAAUGACAAGUUUCUGUAAUAAUGGAGAUGUUAAAGCUACCCUUCCUAAAUAUCUCAAAAGUCAAUCCCUCUAUAGCUUCACUGAGUGUCAUAGAAGAGGAGAAGAGGAGAGAGCAUGGAGCAGAAACAGAACAUGGAACAAUUCAAGGGCCAAACAGGAUUACCAAAAUUUGCCGUCCCUCAACGUUAUGAUCUUCACCUCAAACCAGACCUCUCUCUGUGCAGUUUUUCUGGUACCAUCAAUAUUAACCUUAGCAUCACUGAGCCCACUAGAUUUAUUGUAUUAAAUGCCUUGGAGCUCAAUAUCCAUGAAGUCUUGUUCACCAACUCUCACAACCAAAAAUAUUAUCCAAAUGAUUUUAUUUUGGAUUGCGAUGAUGAGAUACUUGUGUUGGUCUUCCAUGAAAUUCUUGAUGUUGGUGAUGGAGUGCUGGAGAUCAAGUUUUCUGGGAUGCUUAAUGAGCACUUGAGGGGCUUCUAUAAAUGUACUUAUGUGGAUGGUGAAGAGAAAAAGAAUAUGGCAGUUACUCAGUUUGAAGCAGUGGAUGCAAGGAGGUGUUUUCCAUGCUGGGAUGAACCUGCUCUUAAGGCAACCUUCAAAAUAACAAUAGAUGUGCCACUAGAGUUGACAGCAUUGUCCAACAUGCCAAUUAUUGAUGAAAAGCAUGAUGGGAAUGUUAAGACUGUUUAUUUUGAGGAAUCUCCUCUAAUGUCAACUUAUUUGGUGGCUGUUGUCAUAGGUUUAUUUGAUCAUAUUGAAGAUACAACAUCUGAUGGAGUUAAAGUUCGUGUAUACUGUCCUGUGGGUAAGAGUGAUAAAGGGAAAUAUGCUUUAAGCAUUGCUGUUAAGGCACUUGACCUAUAUACUGAGUACUUCUCAAUGCCUUACCCACUUCCUAAAUUGGAUAUGGUUGCUGUCCCUGAAUUUGCUGGUGGAGCUAUGGAGAACUAUGGUCUAAUAAUAUACCGUGAAAUUGAUUUACUACAUGAUGAUUUGCAGUCUACAGCAUAUAGAAAGCAGAGACUGACAAUUGUUGUGCUGCAUGAAGUGGCCCAUCAAUGGUUUGGCAAUCUGGUAACAAUGGAAUGGUGGACUCAUUUAUGGCUCAAUGAGGGUUUUGCAACAUGGAUUAGUUACAUGGCAACAGAUAAGUUGUUUCCUGAGUGGAAAAUAUGGACUCAAUUUCUUCAACUUACUUCCAGUGGCUUGGGUAUGGAUGCCUUAGAAGGAUCGCAUCCAAUUGAGGUAGAGAUAGAACAUGCUCGUUCAGUGGAUGAAAUCUUUGAUGCUGUCAGCUAUAAGAAGGGAUCUGCUAUCAUCCGUAUGUUGCAGGGCUAUCUUGGGGAUGACAUGAUCCAGAAGUCCUUGAGUUCGUACAUGAAAAAAUAUGCCUGGGGAAAUGCAAGAACAGAAGAUUUAUGGAGCAUUAUUUCAGAAGAAUCUGGUGUUCAAGUAAGCUCAAUGAUGGACAGUUGGACAAAGCAAAAAGGAUAUCCAGUCAUCUCUGUGAAAUAUGAAGAUGGUUUUUUGGAAUUUGAACAGUCGCAAUUCCUCACAUCUGGUUUGCAUGGUAAAGGAAGAUGGAUUGUUCCAAUAACCAUGCUCCUUGGAUCUUACAACAGAGGCAAGAAUUUCCUGUUGCAGUUAAAAGCUGAAAGGGUGGACACAUCUGAUCUAAUUUCAGAUUCUGAUGGCAAGUCAAGCUCAUUAAAUGAAAACAAUAGAGAGAAAUUUGACAAACUUAUAUGGAUCAAAAUAAACAUAGAGCAGAGUGGCUUCUAUAGAGUAAAGUAUGACGAAGAACUUUCAGCAAGGCUGAGGAAAGCAGUAGAGCACGAUAGCUUGUCAGCAGCUGAUAAAUUAGGCAUUUUGGAUGAUACAUGUGCUCUUUGCGAGGCUUCUGAAAUAUCAUUAUCAUCUUUGCUUUCCUUGAUGGAUGUAUACAGAAAAAAACUUGAUUACAUUGUGGUGUCAAAACUCAUUGAUGUCUGUUACAAGAUUGUGGAGAUCUUUGUAGAUGCCUUCCCAGAUUCAGUGAAUGAGCUCAAAGCAUUUUUCAUUAAUCUCCUCCUAUUUUCUGCUGAAAAAUUAGGCUGGGAGCCAAAAGCCGAAGAGAGCCAUUUAGAUGCUUUAUUAAGGGGAGAAAUCUAUAUUGCCCUGGCUACUUUUGGACAUGAUAAAAUGCACAAUGAAGCAUUGCGGCGAUUUCGGACACUGUUAAAUGAUAGAAACACUCCAUUUCUUUCAGUUGGCACAAGGAAGGCUGCAUACAUUGCCGUGAUGAGGAAUGCUAGCUCCACAAACAAGAGUGGCUUUGAGUACUUGUUGAAGAUUUAUAGAGAAGCUGAUACAGUGCAAGAGAAGGAACAGAUUUUGAGUUGUAUAGCAUCUUGUCCAGACCCAGAAAUAGUGCUAGAGGCUUUAAACUUUAUGGUCUCUGAUGAGGUUCGAGAUCAGGACAUUAUCUAUGGACUUACUGGCAUAAGUUUGGAGGGCCGUGAAAUAGCUUGGAGAUGGUUGAAGGUAUUGAGAAAAUAAUGGAAACUCAAGAGAGCAUUGAUUACAAAGCUUAUUACCUUUUAAUGAGGUAUGAUAUAAGUUUGGUCCCUAAUGCAGGAGAACUGGGACCAAAUCUUGAGGAAAUAUGGUGCUGCGUUACUAAUCACCCAUUUCAUUAGAGAUAUUAUCUCACCAGUAAGUAAUUCUUCCUACACAUGAUGUGUGCCUACUGCCAGUGCCUGGAACAUCUGUAAAACCAGUUUUUGAUGGCCACAUGUAUGCUUAGAAACCAGAUCAAAAGCAUGUUUCUUAAAAGAGAACUCUUUGCAUAUACAAAAGCAUAUCUGCUUUUGCAGAGUCUCUGAAUAUUCAUCCCUCGUCGACAAGUUGUGGAUCAAAUUCUCUAGCUUCAUCAAGAAUAGAAGAGAACAAACUUCAAUAAUAGACAAUUAACAUAUAAACAAGGAGGAUUAAGAAUUUAAGAUAACUGUAUAAUAUUUUUGCUUCUCAAGGCAUCUUUCUCCGACAUAAUUACCACAUUGACGAGUUGGGUAUAUAUACAAGCUUUUCUUUAGAGAAAUUCCAUCCCUAAGAAAUGAAAAAAAGCAUCUUCAGCAGUUCUGUUAACUUGUUAACCUGAUAUUUUGUUUUUAGCUUGCUACUGAUAUGAUUAACUUAAUGUGGCAGUUCUGCAGC
RNAcentral lists this unclassified non-coding RNA (5672 nucleotides) under Hevea brasiliensis (rubber tree). The record is from RNAcentral. Lineage: Eukaryota; Viridiplantae; Streptophyta; Magnoliopsida; Malpighiales; Euphorbiaceae.